RNAcentral lists this ribosomal RNA (496 nucleotides) under uncultured bacterium. RNAcentral describes it as "partial 16S ribosomal RNA". It matches the Rfam family "Bacterial small subunit ribosomal RNA", at positions 28 to 506 of the family's 1533-position model. The record is from RNAcentral.
GAUGAACGCUGGCGGCGUGCCUAAUACAUGCAAGUCGAGCGAACGGACGAGAAGCUUGCUUCUCUGAUGUUAGCGGCGGACGGGUGAGUAACACGUGGAUAACCUACCUAUAAGACUGGGAUAACUUCGGGAAACCGGAGCUAAUACCGGAUGAUAUUUUGAACCGCAUGGUUCAAAAGUGAAAGACGGUCUUGCUGUCACUUAUAGAUGGAUCCGCGCUGCAUUAGCUAGUUGGUAAGGUAACGGCUUACCAAGGCAACGAUGCAUAGCCGACCUGAGAGGGUGAUCGGCCACACUGGACCUGAGACACGGUCCAGACUCCUACGGGAGGCAGCAGUAGGGAAUCUUCCGCAAUGGGCGAAAGCCUGACGGAGCAACGCCGCGUGAGUGAUGAAGGUCUUCGGAUCGUAAAACUCUGUUAUUAGGGAAGAACAUAUGUGUAAGUAACUGUGCACAUCUUGACGGUACCUAAUCAGAAAGCCACGGCUAACUACGU